Molecule: small nucleolar RNA, 109 nt
Organism: Hibiscus syriacus
Lineage: Eukaryota; Viridiplantae; Streptophyta; Magnoliopsida; Malvales; Malvaceae
Product: small nucleolar RNA snoR97
Exons: 1
Source: RefSeq, a predicted model, not a curated record
ACCUGAAAUGUGGUUUAUGGUCUGAUAAACUCGUAUAGUUGUGUGUUGUCAUCAGCUUCUUUCUCUUGCAAUUUUCACGAGAUCGGAGUUAAAUAACAGCACUAUAUUG